AAUUAAGGUUAAAUGAGUCGGAGUGUGGAGCCCUAAUCUAAUAGGACUGGUGUCCUUAUAAGAAAACGAAGAGACAUCAGAGAGCCCUCUCUCCACACACAGAGAAAAAGUCACGUGAGCACACAGCGAGAAGAAGGCCGUUUGCAAGCAGGAAGAGAGCCUUUACCAGAACCCAAAUUUUCUAGCAGCUUGAUUGUGGACUUGCAGCUUCCAGAACUGUUCUGGGGACUGGGACGUGGACAUCUUUGGAGGGCCAUCAACACUGAGUUCAGCCAAAGAGGAGCCUGUGUGCUGGAGCCCACCCACCCCCCAGACCCAGAGACAGAAGGGAGGAGGGGACCAUACGGAGUUUGGUUCAGCUCCACUGGGCGGCCUCCUUGGCUCUGUCAGCCUUGCUGCUCUGCGAGGGUCUUGUCACUGAAUCAAGGAUGGUGGCAACUCAGCUGGUUUCCAGGACUUGCAAGGGAGAUAACACCCAACUUCAGCUUGGGACAAUUCUGCUUCUUCCACUUCCUAGAGAGGCGUUUCCUUCCUCCCUUCAUCCACUUCUUCUCUGAGAAGUCUCAGGUGGGAAACAGGUGGCAGGAACUCAACUCACAGUAUCUAGACAAAGAAGGGGGAUUAUUGAUUUGCACAACUGGGAUGUUUAGGAAUAUAACAGCUUCAAGGAUGGCUGCAUUCAGGAGUUCAAAUGACGCCAUGAGUGUCCUUUCUCUCUCUCCCAAACAAAUUCUCUCCCUGCAGCUGGCAAGAUGGUUGCUAGCAGCCCCAGACGAAAUCCUAUCUUUUUAGCGAUGCCAAAAGAAAGAAACAGUCUUCUCUGACAGCCCUUAAUGAUAGGACAUCUCUGGGUCACGUGCCCAUCCUUGGAUGGGGCAGAAUCAGCAGCAGUGAUGUGCUGUGAGGGCUGAAUGUGCACUUUUAGUGACGUCAUGUUUGUAGCUUGAAAUUGGCCAUAGUGAGAGUGUUUAUACCAUGGAAAUUAGCAAACACUACAAAUCAGGGCUCCGCCCGCCCAGAGCCAGCUGUUAAACACUGAUGCACACCACUGAGUCAGCCCUACCUAAACCAAUGAAACAGUUUCUCCUGAGGAAAGAUACAUUCUAUUACCCAAAAAGGGGAAGUAGAGGCUGGCCAGGCAGAUAUAACAAAGGAACUCGACUCUGUUGAAUGCAAAUCUGCCUAGAGAUCUCAGAAAGGAAUCUUCCAGGGUUUCCUCCCACCCUGAAUCCCCAAGAGGACACUGACCAGGCCAAGGUUGAACCCACUGCUGAGACAGUCCAGCCAGUAUGCAGUCUUCCAGGAGAAGGGCCCAGCCUCUGCCCCUCCCACAGUCCUCCCUUCUCCGACCGCCAGUCACAUUCUACGGAAAAUUAAGGAACUUCCUGAGCCCACCGCUUUCUGCAAAGCCAUUCCAGCAACCUAGACCCAUGAUUUUCAGCUUGUUCAGCUAUUUUACAACAACCCUUUCAAAGCAGCCCAGAAAUGGGGGCUGUGGCUUGAUUUGAGGUUAAACAAAUAAGUGCCAUUUAUCCACCAACACUCUAGGAAUGAAAGAUUUCUUCAGGCAAAUUCCCAAGCUGUGUGUUCCAGAAAAACUGCUGCCCCAAAUUGCUGGGUUCCAGUCCAGUGUUCUCCAUUUCCGAAGCUAUCUGGGCUGCUUUCGGCUGUGCUCUGCACGGAGCACCAGGACUGAUGCUGGAGUUGGCGGCCAGACGCACCGCCUCUUGGCUGUGUCAGCCUCCCACUCAGCGCCCACAGGACCGUAGGAGCUCCUGGGGUAUUUCUUGGCCUGCUGGGAAAUGGCUCCUCUCCAUCCUAGGAGGCCUGGGCCAGACUGCUGGCUGCUUGAGGCAGAUUACUUUUCUUCCCAUGUUUUGAGGGCAGGCAAGAAUGAGAAAAAAAAAAAAAAACACAUUCUCAAACAAAUAAAACUCCGCUCCACCAGCCAGGAAAGCUGAGCUUCUCAGCUGGUGGGGUGCAGGAGCAAUUCAACAGAGAAGUCUUCCAUCCUUCUCUAAGAGACUAGUUUUGGCCAAUGAAAAUGAGCAGAAGUGAUGCGUGUCCUUGCCAGGCUGAGGCAAGACAAAGCCCAUGUCUCAUUCUCUAGUCUCUCUUUCUCCCAGACUCUUCAACUAUGGAGGCUAUGUGUUCUGUACGGUGCAGCUAGAAGAUGGAGCUUCUGUCCACCUGGGUCCCCAAGUUAGUCUGUGGAGCAGAACUGCCUGCCAACCUGCUGGGACAUAGAGUGUGAGCAAGAAGUCAACUUUUGUUGUGUUCAGCCACUGAGCUCCAGGGGUUGUUUGUUACUGCAGCAUUACCUGGCAUACCCUGACUGAUUCGAGCUCCUGGCACACUCUGGUACACUCUCCCAUGCUGUUCACCAGGAGAGGUCAGCAUGCAAGAGGUAGAAAACAACACUUCCUCCCCCUCUGGCCAACAGCCUUCACCCAAAGGAGUCCUUGCGAGCUUAUAUUCAGGGGCCCCAGGGUUCCUUGUCUCGCUAAAGAUUUAAGGAACUUUUCUAAGGCUUGGGCCUGGGUCUGUGCCUUCCUUUAAAUGUCUCUACAGUACUUGGUUGAACACUAGCAUACAAAUGGUCCUCUCUCACAUCCCAAGACAUCGAACAGGGCAUGAUGCACUUUCACUGGUGAUCCCCCAUGAGGCUGAUGGGAUAGGCUCACUUCCUGCUUUAAAGGUGAGAACAGUGAAGCCCAGGAGGAUUAACGUCCUGCCAAGUUUGCACAGCUAACCACGUGAAGAACUUGAGCCCAGGUCUUAUGCAUCUUGCCACGAUACCAAUAUUUCUCAAAAUGUAGUUGACAGACUCUGAGAUGGAACCCGGGAAUCUGCAUUUUCAAAGCUCCUUGGGCAAUAAUUGUGCUUGCUAAGUUUGAGAACCCUCACACCAC
This 2912-nucleotide long non-coding RNA is filed under the name Equus caballus (horse). Its description in RNAcentral is "lncRNA (ENSECAG00000057273.1)". Lineage: Eukaryota; Metazoa; Chordata; Mammalia; Perissodactyla; Equidae. The record is from RNAcentral.